AGCACUUGUAUGUGUGUUUGAUCAGCUGAUUGACAAAGGCAUGUUGGACAGGUACAAAAAUAAAUUUGUUUUUGUAACCCAAGGCUCAUUGUUCAGUAUGAGUUUUUGAUACAUAUAAGAAGGAAUAUA
Small nucleolar RNA from Acomys russatus (golden spiny mouse), 129 nucleotides. RefSeq annotates it as small nucleolar RNA SNORA40. The record is from RefSeq and is a predicted model, not a curated record. The transcript has a single exon. Lineage: Eukaryota; Metazoa; Chordata; Mammalia; Rodentia; Muridae.